This 490-nucleotide ribosomal RNA is filed under the name uncultured Dyadobacter sp. RNAcentral describes it as "partial 16S ribosomal RNA". The record is from RNAcentral. Lineage: Bacteria; Pseudomonadati; Bacteroidota; Cytophagia; Cytophagales; Spirosomataceae.
CACGGAGUUAGCCGGUGCUUAUUCCUCUGGUACCGUCACACAGGGACGCAUCCCUGCUCUUCUUCCCAGAUAAAAGCCGUUUACAACCCUGAGGGCCUUCAUCCGGCACGCGGCAUGGCUGGGUCAGACUUGCAUCCAUUGCCCAAUAUUCCCUACUGCUGCCUCCCGUAGGAGUCGGGCCCGUAUCUCAGUGCCCGUGUGGGGGAUCGACCUCUCAGCUCCCCUACCGAUCGUCGCCUUGGUGGGCCGUUACCCCGCCAACUAGCUAAUCGGACGCAUGCCCAUCUACCACCGAUAAAUCUUUAACAAAUAGACCGAUGCCGGCCCCCUGUAUUAUGCGGUAUUAAUCCGGGUUUCCCCGGGCUAUCCCCCAGUGAUAGGUAGGUUGCAUACGCGUUGCGCACCCGUUCGACGGUGACACCGAAGUGCCCCCUCGCCUUGCAUGUAUUAGGCCUGCCGCUAGCGUUCAUCCUGAGCCAGGAUCAAACUC